GUAGGUGGCAAGCGUUGUCCGGAAUUAUUGGGCGUAAAGCGCGCGCAGGCGGUCCUUUAAGUCUGAUGUGAAAGCCCACGGCUCAACCGUGGAGGGUCAUUGGAAACUGGGGGACUUGAGUACAGAAGAGGAAAGCGGAAUUCCAAGUGUAGCGGUGAAAUGCGUAGAGAUUUGGAGGAACACCAGUGGCGAAGGCGGCUUUCUGGUCUGUAACUGACGCUGAGGCGCGAAAGCGUGGGGAGCAAACAGGAUUAGAUACCCUGGUAGUCCGACGCCGUAAACGAUGAGUGCUAAGUGUUAGGGGGUUUCCCGCCCCCUUAGUGCUGCAGCUAACGCAUUAAGCACUCCGCCUGGGGAGUACGGCCGCAAGGCUG
This 374-nucleotide ribosomal RNA is filed under the name uncultured organism. Its description in RNAcentral is "partial 16S ribosomal RNA". It matches the Rfam family "Bacterial small subunit ribosomal RNA", at positions 527 to 896 of the family's 1533-position model. The record is from RNAcentral.